GGGGUAUUUAUCUUCGGAUAGAGAGACCGGCGCACGGGUGCGUAACGCGUAUGCAAUCUACCUUUUACAGAGGGAUAGCCCAGAGAAAUUUGGAUUAAUACCUCAUAGCAUUGCAGAAUGGCAUCAUUCAGCAAUUAAAGUCACAACGGUAAAAGAUGAGCAUGCGUCCCAUUAGCUAGUUGGUAAGGUAACGGCUUACCAAGGCUACGAUGGGUAGGGGUCCUGAGAGGGAGAUCCCCCACACUGGUACUGAGACACGGACCAGACUCCUACGGGAGGCAGCAGUGAGGAAUAUUGGACAAUGGGCGCAAGCCUGAUCCAGCCAUGCCGCGUGCAGGAUGACGGUCCUAUGGAUUGUAAACUGCUUUUAUACGAGAAGAAACACUCCUUCGUGAAGGAGCUUGACGGUAUCGUAAGAAUAAGGAUCGGCUAACUCCGUGCCAGCAGCCGCGGUAAUACGGAGGAUCCAAGCGUUAUCCGGAAUCAUUGGGUUUAAAGGGUCCGUAGGCGGUUUAAUAAGUCAGUGGUGAAAGCCCAUCGCUCAACGGUGGAACGGCCAUUGAUACUGUUAGACUUGAAUUAUUAGGAAGUAACUAGAAUAUGUAGUGUAGCGGUGAAAUGCUUAGAGAUUACAUGGAAUACCAAUUGCGAAGGCAGGUUACUACUAAUUGAUUGACGCUGAUGGACGAAAGCGUGGGUAGCGAACAGGAUUAGAUACCCUGGUAGUCCACGCCGUAAACGAUGGAUACUAGCUGUUGGGUGCAAACUCAGUGGCUAAGCGAAAGUGAUAAGUAUCCCACCUGGGGAGUACGUUCGCAAGAAUGAAACUCAAAGGAAUUGACGGGGGCCCGCACAAGCGGUGGAGCAUGUGGUUUAAUUCGAUGAUACGCGAGGA
Molecule: ribosomal RNA, 895 nt
Filed under: Flavobacterium sp.
Lineage: Bacteria; Pseudomonadati; Bacteroidota; Flavobacteriia; Flavobacteriales; Flavobacteriaceae
Description: bacterial SSU rRNA
Rfam family: Bacterial small subunit ribosomal RNA
Source: RNAcentral